UACGUAGGGCGCAAGCGUUGUCCGGAAUUAUUGGGCGUAAAGAGCUCGUAGGCGGUUUGCCGCGUCUGCCGUGAAAGCCCGGGGCUCAACCCCGGGUCUGCCAUGCCGACUGUCAGGCUGGAGUACUGUAGGGGCAGGCGGAAUUCCGGGUGUAGCGGUGGAAUGCGUAGAGAUCCGGAGGAAGACCGGUGGCGAAGGCGGCCUGCUGGGCAGUUACUGACACUGAUGCGCGACAGCGUGGGGAGCAAACAGG
RNAcentral lists this ribosomal RNA (253 nucleotides) under uncultured bacterium. RNAcentral's name for it is "partial 16S ribosomal RNA". It matches the Rfam family "Bacterial small subunit ribosomal RNA", at positions 524 to 776 of the family's 1533-position model. The record is from RNAcentral.